CCAACGGCCCUCUUUAGGGCCACAUAUGUGUACUACACGAAUCGAAU
Molecule: non-coding RNA, 47 nt
Organism: Heligmosomoides polygyrus
Lineage: Eukaryota; Metazoa; Nematoda; Chromadorea; Rhabditida; Heligmosomidae
Source: Rfam